GGGCAACAGAGCAAGACUCUCAAAAAAAAAAAAAAAAAGUCAGGUCUCUGUUUACUCUCAGAGUUGGAGAUAUCAGCUCGGCUCCUGUUAUGGACUAAAUUGUAUCCCUUGUUCAUAAAUUGAAGCCCUAACCUCCUAUCCCCCAUGACUCUAUUUGGAGAUGAUGGAGUCCUAAUCCUCCAGGACUGGCAUUCUUGUAAAAGAGGAAGAUGCACCUGGGAUGCACAUGCACAGGGAAAAGGCCGAACGAGGACACAGCUGGAAGGAGACUGUGUGCAGGUCAUGGAGGGGGCCUCAGGAGAAGCCAAACCUGGCUUCAUCUUGGAUUUUCAGCCUCCGGAAGUGUGAGAAAACAAAUUUCUGUUGUUAAAGCCACCUAGACCAUGGCAUUUUGUUAUGGCAGUUCCAGCUGACUAAUGUAGCUCCUGACCUGAGAGUGGAAUGGGAGCCUCUGGUGUCUAGGCUUCUCUGCCUGAACAGAAGACUUUCUGACCUCCUGGAGCGGGUGCUCAGCUCCGUUCAGCUGUUCCUCUGAGGCAGGAGAGGAGAUUCUCCUCUGGGCUAGUUUCGUUGGGAAGACUAGAGAAAAAGGGCUCUUCCAGAUGGAAUUUGUGACACCCCCAGCACUGCUGAUUAUUCUUGGUGGGACAUGUCUGAAUUCUAAAACUUGACCUUCAGGUACCGCAUUCUUGCCUGUUCACUUCCUCCUAGUAACUAUACCCAGUAUUGUCUAUGGCUAUUCCUGCCUUUCCACAUUCUCUUAUUUUUUUGGAGAUGGGGUCUCACUAUGUUGGCCAGGCUGGUCUCAAACUCCUAGGCUCAAGGCGAUCCUCCCACCUUGGCCUCCCAAAGUGCUGAGAUUACAGACGUGGGUCAUCACACCCGGCCCACAUUUUCUCCUGUAUCCCAAACUUCCUUGUCAGCUGGGUUCCUUGCGAGGUAGGUUCUGCUAGUGGAAGGCACUUACAUGAAGUUGGUUGGAAGGUGGGAGGGAGAGGCCAUUUUUUUUCUGUGUAUGACAUUUAUCAGUAGGUUUGUAGGCAAUCAUGGGCCCUGCAACAGUAGGGUACUGGGGCGAGGGCAGCAGGGGUGGCUCUGGGUAAGUAAGGGCCCCAGUGGCUCUGGUGGCUGUUUCAAUAGCACGAACAGGUGGACUCUUGGCUGCCUGCCCAAUGGGAAAGGCAGUGAUUGUCGUGGGAGUGGCAGCAUCAGCAACACUACAGAUACAUUUGUUGUAAGCUCAUGCACUCUGGGUAAAAACUAGUCUCUCCUUUUUGUCCCUCCAGCCCAGUGGGGGUUCCAGAAGCUUCCUACAAUCAUUGGUUUUUUAAUAGCAUCACUUUCCCCCAGGGUCACGGAGAAAAGCUGUGAACAUCACAAAAAUGGUCUGAAUAUAGAAGACCUUGAAUGCCAGAAGAAAUACCAUGUGAGGAAAUAGUGAGAAGGUGGCCAUCUGCAAGCCAGGAAGGGAGCCUUCACCAGAAACCGAACACUGCUGGAACCUUGAACCAGUAGAAAAUAAAUGUCUAUUGUUUAAGCCUA
This is a non-coding RNA of Macaca mulatta (Rhesus monkey), 1542 nucleotides long. Lineage: Eukaryota; Metazoa; Chordata; Mammalia; Primates; Cercopithecidae. The record is from RefSeq and is a predicted model, not a curated record.